AUGGCUAAAAUUGUCUCAAUUAUAAUUCUUAUCAAUCUUAAAGUAUCUGCAGUCAUCUCUUCCCUCAACAUCCAGCAAUUACCACAACAUCUACUAAUAACACCUAAGCAGAGUGAAGCGAAGCUCAGCUGCCGGCAUGGUGAUACCAGCUAUCCCUACAUGUACUGGUAUCAACAAAAAGCAGUCGGUGACUCCAUUGAGCUCAUUGGAAUGCUUGUGUCUCAAAACCCUACUCCUGAGGAGAAGUUUAAAACACGAUUCAACAUUUCAGGACACUCCACAGGGGAUGCGUUUCUGCUUAUAUCCAGUGUAACUCCUGAGGACAGUGCAGUAUAUUUCUGUGCUGCUAGUAACCACAGUCACACACCUUCCCUUUCUGUUUAA
Non-coding RNA from Tachysurus vachellii, 384 nucleotides. NCBI's taxonomy places the organism in Eukaryota, Metazoa, Chordata, Actinopteri, Siluriformes, Bagridae. The record is from the annotation of a RefSeq genome assembly.